GGCUGCUCCCAAGGAUGGACCCCUGACGUCACUCAAUGCCAAGCCCCUUGAAAAGUGGGGAAAUGGAGAUCCUGGGAGCAUCCCUGGCAGCAGUUGAGCUGUCCAGCCGUGCAGCUGGCCUGUAGGCUUCGAAUGGAGCUGAGUGUCCUUCAAAAGGAGCAGCUGCAGGUCAUUGGCCGGAGUUCCUGGUGGAUGGGUCACUGAGGAUGGCUGCCAGCUCAGAGGGGUCAAUGGUGUGCAGCAGGAACAUCCAGGAACCUCUGCUGGCUGGAAUUUUUUGUUCUUGGCACGCUCUGACUUUUAACUUAGAAAAAAAGGAUGAAGCUACAUAUCAACUGUAUUCUGCGUGUGCACAAAGAAGAGGUCACGCGAGCGGACAACAAGAUGGCAGCUGCCUACAAGAAAAGAAGUCUUAGAAGGAAACCUACCUCGCUGGCACCUUGAUCUUGAACCGCCAGCUUUCAGAGCUGUGAGAAAUAAAUGUCCGUUGUCAUGGCAGCCAGAGCAGACUCAUCCUCCUUCUGCCCAGCACAGAAUUUGAAGGAAUGGUGUGUAAAUGUUUGGGCCACAACAAACACGUGAUAGCUUAACAGCGAAUGCCGAAACCACAGGAGCCUAACGAGAGAUGGCCUUUGAUUGGUGAAGGGUCGCUGCCUCCCUCCAGCACCCA
Long non-coding RNA from Phyllostomus discolor (pale spear-nosed bat), 670 nucleotides. RefSeq lists it as uncharacterized. The transcript has 4 exons. The record is from RefSeq and is a predicted model, not a curated record. NCBI's taxonomy places the organism in Eukaryota, Metazoa, Chordata, Mammalia, Chiroptera, Phyllostomidae.